RNAcentral lists this ribosomal RNA (114 nucleotides) under Chrysemys picta bellii (western painted turtle). The record is from RNAcentral. Lineage: Eukaryota; Metazoa; Chordata; Testudines; Emydidae.
CGCUCCCACCAGACCACCUCAGCCAGCGAUUUCAUCAGCUCUCACAGCCUAAGCAAAGUCAGGCUUGGCCAGUGCUUGGAUGGGAGACCUCCCUGGAAACCCAGGAAGUGGUGU